This 497-nucleotide ribosomal RNA is filed under the name uncultured bacterium. RNAcentral's name for it is "partial 16S ribosomal RNA". It matches the Rfam family "Bacterial small subunit ribosomal RNA", at positions 28 to 507 of the family's 1533-position model. The record is from RNAcentral.
GAUGAACGCUGGCGGCGUGCCUAAUACAUGCAAGUCGAGCGAACAGACUAGGAGCUUGCUCCUCUGACGUUAGCGGCGGACGGGUGAGUAACACGUUGAUAACCUACCUAUAAGACUGGGAUAACUUCGGGAAACCGGAGCUAAUACCGGAUAAUAUAUUGAAUCGCAUGGUUCAAUAGUGAAAGACGGUUUUGCUGUCACUUAUAGAUGGAUCCGCGCCGCAUUAACUAGUUGGUAAGGUAACGGCUUACCAAGGCAACGAUGCGUAGCCGACCUGAGAGGGUGAUCGGCCACACUGGAACUGAGACACGGACCAGACUCCUACGGGAGGCAGCAGUAGGGAAUCUUCCGCAAUGGGCGAAAGCCUGACGGAGCAACGACGCGUGAGUGAUGAAGGUAUUCGGAUCGUAAAACUCUGUUAUUAGGGAAGAACAAAUGUGUAAGUAACUAUGCACGUCUUGACGGUACCUAAUCAGAAAGCCACGGCUAACUACGUG